CUUCAAAAAAGUGACGGUACUAAAAGUUUAGUAGAAAAACAACAAGAAAGGAUACUUGCAUGGGUGAAAUAUGUACGUGUCAUCGUUUGCAAAAUAGUUAGUAACGUUAGUAACGUUGUAAAAAAAUAUAUCAUAAAGAAAAUAUUGUCUUCCUUGGUGGUCGCCCAAGAGAGGUGGAGCUUGGACCCAAGCCAACGUUACCCAUCAUAUCCCAGGACGCCUCACAGAGCACACCUCACACUAUUUAUUAACACCUCGCUUGUCUUUGCUCUGUGAGCCACAUAUAGAAGAAUAAUGUGAGGAUUGAU
Molecule: long non-coding RNA, 308 nt
Organism: Gadus morhua (Atlantic cod)
Lineage: Eukaryota; Metazoa; Chordata; Actinopteri; Gadiformes; Gadidae
Exons: 2
Source: RefSeq, a predicted model, not a curated record